GACCUUGUGGAGGCGUGGCCAAGAGGGU
This 28-nucleotide small RNA is filed under the name Bombyx mori (domestic silkworm). RNAcentral describes it as "ovarian small RNA-15522". Lineage: Eukaryota; Metazoa; Arthropoda; Insecta; Lepidoptera; Bombycidae. The record is from RNAcentral.